GAUGAACGCUGGCGGCGUGCUUAACACAUGCAAGUCGAACGGAACUACUCCAAUGAGAGUCUUCGGAAAGGACGGGGUUUAGUUUAGUGGCGGACGGGCGAGUAACGCGUGGGUAACCUGCCCUAUACAGGGGGAUAACAGUUGGAAACGACGGUUAAUACCGCAUAAGCGCACAGGAGCGCAUGCUCCGGGGUGAAAAACUCCGGUGGUAUAGGAUGGAGCCGCGUCUGAUUAGCUGGUUGGCGGGGUAACGGCCCACCAAGGCGACGAUCAGUAGCCGGCAGGGGAGGGUGCCCCGCUACGUUUGGACUGCGGCCCAGCCCCCUCCCCUACGGGGCGCAGCAGUAGAGUGUAUUACACGCUGAAGCCUACCGUGGUGCCGCCGCGUCGCGUGAGCGGGCAAGUAUCUCGGUAUGUACAUCUCUAUCAGCCGAGGCGAAAAUGACGGUACCUGUCUAAGAAGCCCCGGCUAACUACGUG
Molecule: ribosomal RNA, 480 nt
Filed under: uncultured bacterium
Lineage: Bacteria
Description: partial 16S ribosomal RNA
Rfam family: Bacterial small subunit ribosomal RNA
Source: RNAcentral